This 472-nucleotide ribosomal RNA is filed under the name uncultured bacterium. RNAcentral's name for it is "partial 16S ribosomal RNA". It matches the Rfam family "Bacterial small subunit ribosomal RNA", at positions 28 to 523 of the family's 1533-position model. The record is from RNAcentral.
GAUGAACGCUGACAGAAUGCUUAACACAUGCAAGUCUACUUGAUCCUUCGGGUGAUGGUGGCGGACGGGUGAGUAACGCGUAAAGAACUUGCCCUGCAGUCUGGGACAACCUUUGGAAACGAAUGCUAAUACCGGAUAUUAUGUGAGUUUCGCAUGAAAUUCACAUGAAAGCUAUUUGCGCUUCUGGAGAGCUUUGCGUCCUAUUAGCUGGUUGGUGAGGUAACGGCUCACCAAGGCGAUGAUAGGUAGCCGGCCUGAGAGGGUGAACGGCCACAAGGGGACUGAGACACGGCCCUGACUCCUACGGGAGGCAGCAGUGUGGAAUAUUGGACAAUGGACCAAAAGUCUGAUCCAGCAAUUCUGUGUGCACGAUGAAGUUUUUCGGAAUGUAAAGUGCUUUCAGUUGGGACGAAGUAAGUGACGGUACCAACAGAAGAAGCGACGGCUAAAUACGUGCCAGCCGCCGCCGUAA